UCCUUUAGGUCCUGUCUUUCUCCGGAUUUAUUGGGUUUAAAGGGAGCGUAGGCCGUCUGGUAAGCGUGUUGUGAAAUGUCGGGGCUCAACCUGGGCAUUGCAGCGCGAACUGUCAGACUUGAGUGCGCGGGAAGUAGGCGGAAUUCGUCGUGUAGCGGUGAAAUGCUUAGAUAUGACGAAGAACUCCGAUUGCGAAGGCAGCCUGCUGUAGCGCAACUGACGCUGAAGCUCGAAAGCGUGGGUAUCGAACAGG
Molecule: ribosomal RNA, 253 nt
Filed under: Leyella stercorea DSM 18206
Lineage: Bacteria; Pseudomonadati; Bacteroidota; Bacteroidia; Bacteroidales; Prevotellaceae
Description: Prevotella stercorea DSM 18206 partial 16S ribosomal RNA
Rfam family: Bacterial small subunit ribosomal RNA
Source: RNAcentral